GAAGAACUCAGAGUCGGGAAGAGGAGGAGGGUAGAAAUUCCCCCAAUUUCAGACUGAGGAGGUCCGUGACAGCGUGCUUGUGUAGGUUGAUUGGGCUAAGCGAUUGGAUAAUAGCAAGCGGUGAAGUCGGAUUUGAGGCUUCUCGAGGACUCGAUGUAUUAAUUCAUUGAGGAUGUGAGAGAAAGAGAUCGUCACUCCUUACCGGCCGCAGGAGCCAAAAGAGCUCGAGCAGGAGGACAUGGUCACCGGCAAAUUGGAGGAGGAAGUGCCGAUGGUACCUGCUGGUGUUUGGAUUGGUAAGGUUCUCGACAAAGAUGGAGCUAAGCAAGAUGAGGUCUGCA
This 341-nucleotide long non-coding RNA is filed under the name Eucalyptus grandis. Its description in RNAcentral is "long non-coding RNA (EGRA_LNC006199)". The record is from RNAcentral. Lineage: Eukaryota; Viridiplantae; Streptophyta; Magnoliopsida; Myrtales; Myrtaceae.